Cryptomeria japonica (Japanese cedar) is the source of this 4031-nucleotide RNA transcript. RefSeq lists it as uncharacterized. NCBI's taxonomy places the organism in Eukaryota, Viridiplantae, Streptophyta, Pinopsida, Cupressales, Cupressaceae. The transcript is spliced from 3 exons. The record is from RefSeq and is a predicted model, not a curated record.
AAAAAAGUGUGUUCGUUAUAUUUUGUUUUUGGGUUCAUCCAUCUGUGGAGCAUGACCAAACUGAAUCUACAGCGAUGGAGGGAAUUGCUGAAAAAAGCAUUACCGUUUCACAUGGCUAUCCAUUACCUGUUAAAAAAAAACAUGAUUGUUGCUUAUUUUACCGUUUUAAAAAGCAUGCCCGUUGCCGAAUGUUACUGUUAUAAAUGGCAGGGCACUGUUCAUGUGGAUUAGCGAGGGAUUGUGUUCUUCCUCUUAUGUCAAUGUUUGUUUGAUCUUCUGUUUAUUCCAUCAAUGUCUUUUAUAGGAAUUUUAUGUUUCUUUUGUUUUUCUUAUCGUUUUGAUGUUUUCUGAUGAGGGUUUUGUAAGCGAGCAUACUAGUGUGUCUGUCCAUGUUGUGCAUCUGUGAUUUGUUUAGUUUUUUCUGGUUGCUUUUUCUAUUAGAUAGGGAGGGGCAGAACAGAGGAAGAGGGAAGGAAAAAGGCAAAGGCAGAACAAAAGGAAGUUUGACAGUUGAAGAGGGAAGGCAGAACAAAACCAGAGGUUGGCCUGCUCAUCUGCAUUUUGGGUUGAAUGACAAAACCACUGGGCAUCCUCGUCCGCUUGAAAUUGAAGACUCUGCGCUUAGUCAGGUCCUUCAGGCUGAGGAUUCUUCACAAUCCAAAACCCUUGACUGACUUUAGGAGCCCAGAUGGAUAUAGUUGGGUGGGUGGGUACAACCAACUGGAUCUGACUUGGUUACAGUACCACUUUCAUCUCUGCACACUUGGAUCUGACUUUUACUUGUAGCUGCACUCAAACUAGCAUGCAACUCUGUCUCUGAUUCUGGCCUAAACAAGGUCUCUUUCAGGUUACAACAUUCUUAUCUUCCUUGCGAGUCUAUCUCUGUGCAAGAUGAAAGGUGUGGGUUCUGGUCUCUUCGCUAAUUUUAUUCUCUCUAUCCAAGGUCAUUCUGAGGUUCCUUUGUUCCUUCAAUAACCUCAAAGGUGUUUACAACCUAUAAGAAGCAACUUGAACAGCACACCUUCCAGCAUUAUAAGAAGCAACUCGAACGUGUUCGAAUAACAAGAUAAGAAACUGAUUCUACCAUUGACGCUUAAUGGUUUCUUGUUAAAGGUCAUUUUAGGCAUUAUUCAUUUUCAUUUUGGUAAUUUCAAUUUAUUCUGCCUACUGAUAAAUAUAAACAAUUAUGUCGUAGAGAACAAUUCUUUCUUGAUGAUGGUUCAGGAACAAGCAUAAUGAUUCUAAUUGUAAUGCUUGCAAGAGAAUUUUUCAUUUUAUGCACGAUUAUCUAUAUAUAAUUUCUGUCUAUUAUUUUAAACAUUUUUUUUGUUUUUUCAAUAUGUGCAAAAACUUGUUGUUUCCUUGAUUUUGGAAGGAUUGUAGUAUGCAUCCUGUACACCUGCAAUCUUUGUGGAGAGGUACAAUUUUAAAAUUUGGAGAAUUUAUUUGUAGAGCUAUCUUAUGUUGUAAUUUAAUAUUGGGAAAAAAGUACCUAAAAAACAAUUUUCUAAAUUAGAUGUAUGUGUAUCUAGCUAAUAUGUAGAGCUAUCACUGUCACAAAUCACCUCUUCCAUUGCAUUAGCACGGAAAUUGAGCACCAAAUCUGAUAUGGUUCUUGUUAAAUUGGAAGUUGAUUCUGCAGCUCCUAUGAAAGUAUUUCUUAGAACCUCCAAUGCCCUUCUUACAUCUCUCAUGGUCGGUCAUUGCGUUCCAUGUCCAUAUUCUCUAACAACCUUUUACCAACAAUGUCUGGUAGGCUCUUAGGGAACACUGACCUCACUCAAUUUGGGAGGUUCAGGUCAUCAGCAAAUAUGGCAUCAGUUGGUCUCUUCCUUGUGAUCAUCAUCUCAAAUGUCGAGGAAAUAAAUAAACUCAUGCAGCUGUUACCAAAAGUUAUUUAUGCAAUAAUAUUUAAAAAAUUAUAUAAUGUAAUAACAAAAUAAGGCAAAUAAACUCAUGCAGCUAUUACCAAAAGUUAUUUAUGCAAUAAUAUUUAAAAAAUUAUAUAAUGUAACAACAAAAUAAGGCCUACCAGGAGCUAUGUAUCCAAUAGAUCCUCUCGUGGAAAAUGAUGUGCUUAAGGAAUCUACAAUCAUGAUGGAGAUAUUCCAUGCUAUGGGCCACAUCAAUAGCAAUGUUCAGACAUUCAUUAGUUUUGAGUUCACAAACGUCCUCCUCGUUACUUUCAGGAUACAAAUGCUCUUCCAAGCUCCCAUUUGUAGCAAACUGAAGAUUCAAAGCCUUAAACAUAUGAACAUGCACUUACUCUAACGAGAUUUCGAUGUCGAGGAAAUUAAUAAACUCAUGUAGCUAUUACCAGAAGCUAUUUGAACAAUAAUAUUUAAAAAAUUAAAUAAUGUAACAACAAAAUAAGGCCUACCAGAGCUAUGUAGCCAAUAGAUCCUCUCAUGGAAAAUGAUGUGCUCAAAGAAUCUACAACGGUUGACAUGUUUUCAUAUAGAAGCACAUUACUAGGUUUCAACUCACAGUGAACAACUUAGGUAGGAGAAUCAUGAUAUGGAGAUAUUCCAUGCUAUGGGCCACAUCAAUAGCAAUGUUCAGACAUUCAUUCGUUUUGAGUUCACAAACAUCCUCCUCAUGACUUUCAGGAUACAAAUGCUUUUCCAAGCUCCCAUUUGUAGCAAACUGAAGAAUCAAAGCCUUAAAGAUAUGAAUAUGCUAUAACGAUAUUUCGAUGUCGAGUCCUUGCCAAGAUUUUGAAUUCUUUCCCUUGAAAUUGUUUCGGAGUUUUUCAUUUUGGAAAUUGAGUAAAAACUGAUCCAAACCUGCUCACACCAAGCAAAUUUGUCUCAUAAAAUCCAUUUGUUUUGUUUAACAGAUUUUGAUAUGUAAACUUAGGAUAUCUCAGUCUUCCAAACAUGAAGUCUGGAAGAUCAAAUUGAUGUGAUAAAUAUUUCUGACACCACAAUAUCCCAAAUAUUGAAGCACACAGUAAAAUUGCAGUCAUUCCAGCAACCGAUAACAUCACUUUUGUAAGUAAUGAUUUCGCGCUUUUACCCUGAUUUGGACAAGCAUGCACUAAGUAUUUAUCUAGACUACGGAGACCGAUAUUUCCCAUAAAGGAUGCAUUAAAUGUGUUAUUUGAAAACAGUCCUCCUCCUCCUCCUGGAACUUGACCUGUCAAAUUGUUGAAACAAGCAUUGAAGUAGCGAAGCACUUUCAUCUUUGUAGAGAUGUAGGUAUUGUACUUGACAGGAAAUUGAAAGAUUCCAAAUUUUGUAACUUCUCAAGUUCAUUUGGUAUCGGUUCUUCAAAGGCGUUAUGAGAGAGAUAGAGAUGCUCCAGUUCUAAGUUUGGACAUGUCUUCAAAUCAGAAGGUAUUUCUUCUGAGAAAUGGUUGUGGUGAAGAAAAAAGUCUCCUUAGCUGUUGAAGUCUACCAAGAGAGCCUGGUAUUCUUCUUGAUUGCUUUUUCGAACUAACAUCUAACAAUGCUAGACUUUUCAUCUUACCGAUGUCCUCUUGAAGGCCGCCUUCUAGGUUGUUGCCACUCAAGAUCCAAUCUUUCCAACUUAUAGAACCUUUUGAGUCCAGCUGGCAGAUACCCACUUAAAAGAUUAUUACGUAGGUUCAAGUAGGUUAAUUUGGUCGGUAAUUUGUUGAGGUAUGUUUCCCCUUAUCUUGUUGUUCCCAAAAUUUAAGAUCGAGAGAUUCGAGGAAAAGUGGCCUAUGGAUGGAGGCAAAACACCGCUCAAAUUAUUGUGAGACAUUUUUAUAUAUUCUAGGUGGGAACAGUUUGUGAGAGCAGUGAGAAAAGGCAAAAGGAUAUUAAUGCUACCAGCAAGCUGAGUGUGUUCUAAUAUGAUAUAUUGUAGCAAGACCAAAUUGCCCAACUCCUUAGGCAUAUAUCCGCUCAGUUGAUUGUUCCUUAUGUCAAGAAGGUUGAUUUUAGAACUAUUUUUAAGGAAUAUGGUAGCUUUCCACUAAGCUCAUUUCCUCAUAGAUUAAAUUCUUGCAAAUUGAUGAGCAUCCCCACAUUAAAAGGAAUAGUUCCUGACAAUUGGUUGUUACU